GGGGUUGACUUGGUUUUGACAGCAAGUCGAUGAUUUGUGUAAGCAUGUCGAGUAAUGAAGUGUCAACUCGUAAAAAAGUCAUUUCAUAUUUUGCAACUGGCGAUAACAAUUACGCGCUUGCCGCCUAAUCGAGCGAUAGCCGAUUAGAGCUUAUCUCACACUAGGUGUGGGAGCAUGCCAUCCCACGAAAUCCCUGACCUAUGGAGUUCGAUUUUGGGGUGCCAGAAAAAUAGGAAUAAGAAAAAAGUAGCUGCGGCUUUUUUCCGAAAUUUAGCAGAUAAGCAAUAUGUAGGCUGUGCAUUGCCGGCAUAUUGACGAAAAUCAAGAAUGUAAUAAACAUGUAGAAAACACCUUUCACGUUUGUUUGGACGCGGGUUCGAAUCCCGCCAACUCCACCA
RNAcentral lists this transfer-messenger RNA (398 nucleotides) under Schleiferiaceae. RNAcentral's name for it is "CSBr16-58 sp007693635 Standard tmRNA". It matches the Rfam family "transfer-messenger RNA". From Rfam's summary of the family: Bacterial tmRNA, also known as 10Sa RNA or SsrA, is named for its dual tRNA and mRNA-like properties. Its role is to liberate the mRNA from a stalled ribosome. To accomplish this part of the tmRNA is used as a reading frame that ends in a translation stop signal. The record is from RNAcentral. RNAcentral also lists the same sequence under 1 other name. Lineage: Bacteria; Pseudomonadati; Bacteroidota; Flavobacteriia; Flavobacteriales.